ACUGAUGGAUAGCUCAAUGGUAGAGCAAUGUUAUCCGUUUUCCAUAUUCUUGCUGGUGUUGUGAGGCAAUGUAAGGCAGACAAAUGCUGUAGGAACUACAAGUCGCGGGUUCAAAUCCCGCUUCGCAGUA
This 130-nucleotide transfer RNA is filed under the name Cardiobacteriaceae bacterium. RNAcentral describes it as "tRNA-OTHER". It matches the Rfam family "tRNA". Rfam says of the family: Transfer RNA (tRNA) molecules are approximately 80 nucleotides in length. Their secondary structure includes four short double-helical elements and three loops (D, anti-codon, and T loops). Further hydrogen bonds mediate the characteristic L-shaped molecular structure. tRNAs have two regions of fundamental functional importance: the anti-codon, which is responsible for specific mRNA codon recognition, and the 3' end, to which the tRNAs corresponding amino acid is attached (by aminoacyl-tRNA synthetases). tRNAs cope with the degeneracy of the genetic code in two manners: having more than one tRNA (with a specific anti-codon) for a particular amino acid; and 'wobble' base-pairing, i.e. permitting non-standard base-pairing at the 3rd anti-codon position. The record is from RNAcentral. Lineage: Bacteria; Pseudomonadati; Pseudomonadota; Gammaproteobacteria; Cardiobacteriales; Cardiobacteriaceae.